Molecule: long non-coding RNA, 590 nt
Filed under: Lathyrus oleraceus (garden pea)
Lineage: Eukaryota; Viridiplantae; Streptophyta; Magnoliopsida; Fabales; Fabaceae
Description: Pisum sativum (pea) long non-coding RNA (PSAT_LNC000845)
Source: RNAcentral
AUGAAGUCUCCCCACACCCCCUGAUUGCUCAGCGUACCCUGUUGGAGCCCCUUCCCUUGGGCCUAAAGCAUGUUCCUAGUUAUAUCCCUAAUUUUCAGUUUGUUUUUGUCUUUUGUCUUUUUAUUUUAUUUUUUUAUUUUUUUAUUAUUGCUUUAUUUGUUUAUUUUUGUAUUUUCUUUUUAUAUUUCCUUUUAUUUUCUUUAGUUUUUUUAAUUAUUUUACCUCUUGUAUUGAUAAUGUGUCAUCUCCCUUUUAUUAUUAUUUUUAUUUCUUUUAUUAUUAUUGCUUUAUUUUAGUUUACUUUAUUUCUUUUAAUUAAUGCAUGAUUGUUAAUUCAAAAAGAUAAAAUUAUCUUUAAAAUUAACCUUUCAAAAAUACUAAAAUCAAAUGUGCUUGAUCAACAUCAAGUGCAUUUUUCAAAAUCACACAAAAACAUUUUCAAACCAAAAUCAAUCGCUUAACAUCCAUUAGCCUUCACAAAUAAAAUAAAAUCAACUCAUUCCACAAUCAUUUUCAAAAUCAACUUGGUCAUCCUUUUUUCUCGCCGUCGCACGAUGAUCAUCAAACUUUUUUUUAAAUGAAAGGUAUUU